ACCAGGCCGAAGAACGACGUCGUGAACAACAACGCGCACAGCAAGAACGGCAGCAGGAUCUUCUGUUGACUAGACCCGAAGCACGACAACAGCUCUCUAGUCUACAGGAGAGUACCGUCGAGGAGGUACUGACUAGUUGCGACCUGAAUCAUGAAGAAC
This 159-nucleotide non-coding RNA is filed under the name uncultured Mamiellales. Lineage: Eukaryota; Viridiplantae; Chlorophyta; Mamiellophyceae; Mamiellales. The record is from RNAcentral.